UACGUAGGGGGCUAGCGUUGUCCGGAAUCAUUGGGCGUAAAGAGCGUGUAGGCGGUCCGGUAAGUCCGCUGUGAAAGUCGGGGGCUCAACCCUCGAAUGCCGGUGGAUACUGUCGGGCUAGAGUGCGGAAGAGGCGAGUGGAAUUCCUGGUGUAGCGGUGAAAUGCGCAGAUAUCAGGAGGAACACCGGUGGCGAAGGCGGAUCUCUGGGCCUUACCUGACGCUGAGGCGCGAAAGCUAGGGGAGCAAACGGG
This 253-nucleotide ribosomal RNA is filed under the name uncultured bacterium. RNAcentral's name for it is "partial 16S ribosomal RNA". It matches the Rfam family "Bacterial small subunit ribosomal RNA", at positions 524 to 776 of the family's 1533-position model. The record is from RNAcentral.